Molecule: ribosomal RNA, 454 nt
Filed under: Abiotrophia defectiva
Lineage: Bacteria; Bacillati; Bacillota; Bacilli; Lactobacillales; Aerococcaceae
Description: bacterial SSU rRNA
Rfam family: Bacterial small subunit ribosomal RNA
Source: RNAcentral
GACGAACGCUGGCGGCGUGCCUAAUACAUGCAAGUCGAACGAACCGCGACUAGGUGCUUGCACUUGGUCAAGGUGAGUGGCGAACGGGUGAGUAACACGUGGGUAACCUACCUCAUAGUGGGGGAUAACAGUCGGAAACGACUGCUAAUACCGCAUAGGACAUGGAAUCACAUGAUUCUGUGAGGAAAGGUGGCGCAAGCUAUCGCUAAGAGAUGGACCCGCGGUGCAUUAGCUAGUUGGUAGGGUAACGGCCUACCAAGGCGAUGAUGCAUAGCCGACCUGAGAGGGUGAUCGGCCACAUUGGGACUGAGACACGGCCCAAACUCCUACGGGAGGCAGCAGUAGGGAAUUUCCGCAAUGGACGCAAGUCUGACGGAGCAACGCCGCGUGAGUGAAGAAGGUCUUCGGAUCGUAAAGCUCUGUUGUUAGAGAAGAACAGCGCAUAGAGUAAACU